Cinara cedri is the source of this 655-nucleotide non-coding RNA. Lineage: Eukaryota; Metazoa; Arthropoda; Insecta; Hemiptera; Aphididae. The record is from the annotation of a GenBank genome assembly.
AUUCGAUAAAUCGAUGCAUGUAAACAAAGGUAAGUUGACAUUACUCUAUGGUACGACACCACUAACCGCGAACAAACCAAUAUAAAACAUAUGGUUACAGUAAUACCAUCACACGACGGAUGCACACAAUAUUCUCUAUGGGCGCGAUCCAUUUACGCGGAUGUCGCGCCACAGUAUUUCUUUCUUCCCCGUGGACGCGGGAAGUCGCACGUAUCAAUGGAAAGUGGUCCGCCUCUGCACUGUCCGUACGUUGGUCACACGCUUCCGGGCGCCGGCCGGCGGUCGCCUAACGCGCCUUCGGCAAUCAGCAGGUCAGCUCCACGGCUCCGUAGCCGUUACCGUGACUCUCGCGUGGUCGUCAUGCCUUUCGCCUCGUCUCUGGUUGUGUACCGUCUUGUUGAAAUCUUAAAUUGGCUUUUUGUUUCAUUCCUUAUUAAAAUAACUUUUGAGUAACGCCAAUUAUGUGAAAACAUAAUAUCCUGUAGUACUUCAAGUUGGUAAAUUAUUGGCUGCGAGGUUAUAUGAUUUGUGGUAAAGAACAAAUGUGGAUUAUGAUAAUGUAGCUAUAGCCUUUUUACUCCUCUCGAUUAUGGUUCUGCGGGUCUCACAGAAGACUGAGCAUUUAUAAUAGAUUUAACGACGGUAAAAUUGAAGU